GAUACGUAUAUUUGUAAGUCGCUCUGGAUAAGAGCGUCUGCUAAAUGACGUAAA
This is a non-coding RNA of Salmo salar (Atlantic salmon), 54 nucleotides long. NCBI's taxonomy places the organism in Eukaryota, Metazoa, Chordata, Actinopteri, Salmoniformes, Salmonidae. The record is from Rfam.